This is a long non-coding RNA of Ruditapes philippinarum (Manila clam), 4462 nucleotides long. RefSeq lists it as uncharacterized. The transcript has 2 exons. The record is from RefSeq and is a predicted model, not a curated record. Lineage: Eukaryota; Metazoa; Mollusca; Bivalvia; Venerida; Veneridae.
UUAUAUUUUCUACAGUUGAUGUCUGCAAUGCAAACACCACCUGGUCAUGUAGCUACCGGAACACCUACCGUUACAUUUAAUCCAGAAACAUUGAAGUGUUGUGUAUGCUAUGAAAGAGAUCGGUCAGCAUUCCUCAUACCUUGUGGUCAUCUGUACUGUAUGGUUUGUGCCACUCAUCUUGAAUCAACUCAAAUGUCCUGUGCUGUGUGUAGAACCAGUAUCACUGGUGUUGGACACCUUCAUGCCUAAUUUUCUUUAGAGAAAGACAGUGUUGUUAUAUUUUCUGGUCCUUCGGGAUCAUUGAUGCCAACACUAUAAAGUGUUGAGAAUUGAGUACCGCUCAAGCCGGUGCUAGGGGCAUGAGGGAUGUUGCACUUAUUCAUUAUCUCUCAUGUACAGACUCAAUCAAACCGAGUCUGCAAUUCUUAUGUUAUUUUGUUGUGAUUAAUGCUUCCGAGGGAUCACUUAUUUUCCAGAAUUUUGUACUUCACAACAACAGGUGUCAAGUGCCGUGUUGCAGCCGUAAAAAGUUGCCCCGUACUUCACUUCAGUGUUGUUAUAUUUUCUGGUCCUUCGGGAUCAUUGAUGCCAACACUAUAAAGUGUUGAGAAUUGAGUACCGCUCAAGCCGGUGCUAGGGGGCGUGAGGGAUGUUGCACUUAUUCAUUAUCUCUCAUGUACAGACUCAAUCAAACCGAGUCUGCAAUUCUUAUGUUAUUUUGUUGUGAUUAAUGCUUCCGAGGGAUCACUUUGUUUCCAGAAUUUUGACAGAAUCUAUGCCAUUCAUUUAAGAGUUGAAGAACAAUGAAAGAUCUAUUUCUUAUUUUAUAAGCUCACCUGAGGACUGUGUCCUCAGGGUGAGCUUUUGUGAUGGCCAAUUGUCCGUCGUUCAUCGUUCAUGUGUGCGUACAUGCGUCAACAAUUUCUUUAAACAACUUUUCCUCCUCCUAAACCACUUGGCCAAAUUUGUUGAAACUUUGCAAGGAUGUUUCUUGCAUGAAGCUCUUCCAAAGUUGUUAAAAGAAUUAAAUUCCAUAAAGAGCUAGAGCUUAGAUAUUUGGCAAGAAAUAUCUUCAAAUGGAUUGCUACCAAAUGUGUUCAAAUAAAAACCUUAGGGUCAAAAUUGGCCCCACCCUAGGGGUCAUUGAUUUUCCUCAUAUGUAUGUAGUAAAAAACAAAAUCUUCUUUUAAAUAAACCCAAAAUCUAGAGCAUAGAUAUUUAAUAUGAAACAUCUUCUAGUGGUUGUCUACCUAGUUUGUUCAAAUAAAAGCCCUUGGGUCAAAAUUGGCCCAGCCCCAGGGGGGUAAUUGAUUUUCCUUGUAUGUAUAUAGGAAUAGAAACAAAAAUCUUCUAAAAAAAGCCAAAGAGCUAGAUAUUUAGCAUGAAACAUCUUUUAGUGAGUGUCUUUUCUUAGGUUAUUCAAAUGAAAUCCCUUGGGUCAAAAUUGGCCCUGCCCCAGGGGUCAUUGAUAUUUAUUAUAUGUAUAUAGGAAAAACAAACAAAAAAUCUAAGAAAGCCAAAGAGCUGAAGCUAAGAUAUUUGGCAUGAAGCAUCUUAUAGUGCGUGACUAACAAGUUUGUUCAAAAUUAAAGCCCUUGGGUCAUCUAGUGACAUCUUAUGGAACUGUUGUUUUCCCCAGUAAAUUUUUACAAGUGCACUAUCAGAUACAAAUAUGAACUUUGUUAUAUCAGUUUAAGAUUUAGAUUUCAAUUCUGCUUUUGUUUAUAAUUUACAAUGUAAUUUGUUCCUUGUCAUGGAGAGUUUUAUAUUCAGGUGAGUGGUAAGAGGACCAUUAUGGCCCUCUUGUUAUAACUUUCACAUAUAAUUGUAUAUGAAGACUUAAAAAUAUUUUUGCUUAAGUCAACAAUGCUUAGAGUUAAGAUAUUUGGUGUGAAGUACAUGUAUUGUCUAAUGGAUGUCUACAAAGUUUGUUAAAAUUUUAUAUGGAGGGUCAGAAUUGGCCAUACCACAGGCGUCACUUCAUUUACAUAAAAUUAUGUUGGAAAAGUAUUCUAAACCAGAAGGCCCAGAUUUAAGCUAUUUUUUGCUUAGUAUUGUGAAGAUAACCUUUACCAAAUACCUUUGUCAAAAUUAGUCCUAACCUGGGUGUCCUGUUUGUGUAAAUAUAAAAUCUUUGAAAAAAAAUCUUGUUGGGAAUGUCAUUGCUUUGUGCUUAGAUAUUUUGUGAAAUUGUACAUGCCUCCCUGUCUUUUGAGAUAACGCCCUGGGUAAAAAACAGCCCCGGCCUAGGGUUCACUAUAUUGUUUUUAGAAAAAUUCUGUAUUGAGGCUUUGUUAGGACUAAUUUGAAGGGUCCUCCUCUUUGUUUGAAUAUGCAAAUUAUUAGUAACAUAAGACAAUCAAGAAAAUAUUUCACUGUUAUAUGCUCCUGGAGUUUUUUGUACACCUUGUUAAAUAUUAAGUUUAAUUUUCAUUUAAAGUGAAUUAGUUAAAAAAAGUUUUGAAAAAAACUAUAUAUAGUUUACUUUCAAAUCCAAUUUCCAUUUAUUUUGGAUGACUUUUUGCCAUUGAAUUAUUGAAUCACCUUUAGUUAAAGUUCUAGAUAAUUUUUGUUUAGAAGGCAUUAAAGUUUAAUUGUUGCCUUAUUUCUUUGUCAUAGAAUGGCAUCAGUUUGUUUUAGAAUUUUUGUUUUUAUACCCUAACCAAACAUAGUUUGGGGUGGGGACUAUAUAAAAAUCACUAUGUCUCGUCCUGUACCGCUGUCUCAAGUCCUAUUACAGGUAUUGAUUUAAAACAUCAGCACUCGAGUAUCUAUGUCAAGAUUCAGAACUCUGAUAGUUAGUUUGACAGAAUUCAGUAUCGCUUUAUAAACAACAGUGUUUUUUAAGAUUGAGAACACUUUUACGUAGUAUGACCAGUAGAAGACUUACACUUAGUUUGACCAGUAGAAGUAUUAACUUGACAUGAAAGAUAUAUCACAAUGUCACUGUCUUUGUCAAGUUUCAUAACUGAUAGUUAGUUUUACAUUAUGAUGCCCCUUAUCUUAAAAAAUAUCUCAAGAAUGUACAAAAGUGGCUAUAGCUGUAUUGUUUAUGAUGUGCCCAAAAGAAUUUCGAACAUGAAUGAAUUAAUUGUCUUCUUAUCUUGACACAACAUCCUUCAUGAUUAUGUCAAAUUAAAACUAAUUAAAGUGACCACAUUGUAAUUACUUCAAACAUGUUUAGAGAAAUGCACUUAUGCAAAUGCAGAUUAAUGUUUGUUGAAAGUCCAAAUACCUUUCCUAACAGUCCAUGCAAAUUUCACUUGAGCAUAUUGGUGGGGGUAUGAAUCGCAUUCAGCGAUAGCUCUAGUUUACUUUGUUUAUGGAAGGUUGUAAAAAGUCUUUAAUCACAUAGCCUCUCUAGCAUCAAUUUGAGCAGUAUUCAGUUCUCAAGGGUUAAGGGCAUUAAUAGACCAGAAAACAUUAAUAAUGAGAUGAGACACAAGUCAACUUUAAAAGAUUAUAAAGAUUCUGUAAAUGGACAACGUCUUGAGAGCAAUCACAACAGUUUGAUUGAACAAAUAGAAAAUCUCGUAUUGAUCUUAUAACUUUAAGCUUAUGCUAUAGUAACUUCAGAUAUGCUUCUGUUUAGUAAAUGCACAGUUGCAGGGGUAAUUGUCAUCUUCAAUGACUGUUCUUGUAAAUGCUUUUACAAGUAUUGAAGGGAUUUAGUUGAUAUACGUGUUUAUAGAGGUCAAGUAGAGAAAUGUAGUGUCAGAAAACUGUAAGUCUUUGAAACGUGCUUAUUAUCUCCUUUAAUUAAUUUUUUGGCUCCAACUUAAAAAAUGUCAAAGGUCAUUGUGACAUUGUUAAUUUCUAAGCUGAUACUGAAUUGAGAAGGAAUUAGUUAAAAUUUGUUAAACUUAUGUAAAGGCAUGGUCCAUGGCCAGUAGUUGGCCCCUAUUGUUAAUGAAGUCAUUAGAUCAAAGGUCAGGUUUACAGUGGCAAAUAUGCCAAUGUGACUGGCAGUUGUAAGUGGUAGGAUAAGUGUCAUAUGCGCCAUUGCUAUUUUAGGUUCUUUCGAGAAUAUUUUUUUAAAACGUUCAAUUCAAAACAAUCACUGAAAGUUCAGUAUUUAAGAAUCAACUUUGUCAUGUUUACAUCUGAACUCUAUUAUCAAUAUUUCAAAGUACUUGAAAAGAGCAGCAUAUCUAAAACGCAUUCAAACUAUUAUAUUGACAGAUGAUUUCAAUCAUAUAGAUGAUUUAAAUCAUAUAAUUAACUCCUUGCUCAUGUUUAUAGAAUGGAAACUACAGGCUUCAGUAUUGUUGUGUUGAUAUCAAAUGUAUUGUUAUUAUUCUUCUACAUUGUACUACUGACAUUGAGUAUUGCGGGUCAUAAUAUGUACAUGCUUUUGUGACAAAAAAAACAACAACAACAGAGUUGUGCUGUUAGUUUUCACAUGUUUAUUUCAAUUGUGUUUUGUUGCUUAAUAUUAAAAUGAAAUAAACUUAUAAAAAAC